Panicum virgatum (switchgrass) is the source of this 1598-nucleotide long non-coding RNA. RefSeq lists it as uncharacterized. The record is from RefSeq and is a predicted model, not a curated record. The transcript is spliced from 3 exons. Lineage: Eukaryota; Viridiplantae; Streptophyta; Magnoliopsida; Poales; Poaceae.
UGCAUGCAUCGAGAAGAAAGAUUUGAAGUGACAGGUUUCUAGACAGUAGGGCCCUGAGCAGUUUUUUAUCCUCAAGACCUAACUUCUCCAUUGCCGUGGAAUUAGUUGUGCUGAUCCUGAAAGGUUCCCUCAGCACAAAUAUAAAUACCAUUUCCUGGGUGAGGGAAAAAAGUCAUGGAAGAAGCUUUGAUUUGGAGGCCAGCAACCUGCAACCUGUGUUGCUGUCCACUUUGUGGCGGGGACGGCCUCUCACCAACUUGUUAUAUUUGCAUCUAUCCUGCUUUUGGAAGGCUUACUUUGAACAGUGGACACUGCUCUAUUCCACUAAUGGAGAUCCCAAUGGGUUAUCUGAUUUUCUCACCCUGCUUCCAUUGUUCUGUUUGGGUGUUUGCCGUUUGUGCUUAUUUUAUCUGUCUCUGUCACUUGCUGUAGUCUCUGACUGGCACCAAGAGCUCAUCUCGCUUCUCUGGACGUGGCAGGAUGUACCAAGUUUAGGACUGAUCAGUCAUCAUGCUUGUGAUGAUAACUUCCUUUUCCCCCUUUUUCCAUGUUCAUCAAGUGCACGACUUAAGUCAAAGCAUCUUCUCAGAUAUGUGCAUGCAUCUCAGGAACCCUUUGGACCCUCCAUGCUAGGAAGAAGUAAAAAAUUCAGUUAACCUCUGUGAUAUUGAUGCCUGUCUUCGUAUAUUCAUGUGUGUAUGGCACUAUGCCAGUUUAUUCACUUGUCUGAAACUUGGCAAUCAUGCAGAGAAACAAUUUUUUGGAAUGAUUUAUUUUUGUUGGCAGGAUUCAUAUUGAGCAUGAUGUGCAAAAUCACAAUCCGUCCAUCAUCUUGACCAUCAGCAGUCUGAAGAUUAUAAUUCUCGUCGUAUGGUGAUUGAGGCCACCACAAGAUGAUGAUGACGGGGCAGUUCUUUUCCAGAAAAAUUAGUUGAUAAGUAAUGUGAUCCGGUGACGACAGCGGAUGCCGAUGGCAACACAUGAAGAGGCGGAGCCGAAACCACCACCCGUUUUGCAUGAUUUGGUCCCGCCACGCACGCGCUCACGCUAGGUGGAGGAGGAGCGGCCUAGGGAGGGAGCCAAAGCCCAAAGGUGGAGGAGCUAUCAAAAGCAGCAAUGCAGCAUCCACUGACUGGGCAAUCCAUGGACAGAAAACUAGAGGCUGCUUUUGGCCUGCUGCCCUGUGAGGUUAGCACACAAUGAGCUCAUGGCAACACUUGUCCUGCGCCGGGUAUAGUGGAGCUACGGCCGGAUCGAUAUCUUUUUGCGCCUGGAUCGUGAUGAAGUUGUUUAUGGUGAACAGUGGAAGAGUCCAGUCCAGACUCAAUAGUCAGCCAUCACCAACCAAAAAUAUAUUAGGGCCUGACCCUGACAGGAAAUGUUUUAUUAUCUUUAUAUGAGCAUAACACAUGUAAGUAAUUACAAGGUGAUUUGUUUUGGAUUUGGUCCCUAGAUCCGACAGUAGCACACUGUUGCAUCAACAGGGUUGCAAUGUAAUGCUGCUAUGUAUUGCCUUGUGAUAUCAUUGUGCACGUUUCAAAUAUACCUAGAAGCAUGCAUCAUCAGCAAGCUACAUGUGCGUGCUCCUGCAUUGAUAA